This 254-nucleotide ribosomal RNA is filed under the name uncultured bacterium. Its description in RNAcentral is "partial 16S ribosomal RNA". It matches the Rfam family "Bacterial small subunit ribosomal RNA", at positions 524 to 776 of the family's 1533-position model. The record is from RNAcentral.
UACGUAGGGGGCAAGCGUUGUCCGGAAUCAUUGGGCGUAAAGAGCGCGUAGGCGGCUCGGUAAGCCGGAUGUGAAACCUCCAAGCUCAACUUGGAGCGGCCAUUCGGAACUGCUGUGGCUAGAGUCUGGUAGGGGAACACGGAAUUCCUGGUGUAGCGGUGAAAUGCUUAGAUAUCAGGAGGAACACCAGUGGCGAAGGCGGUGUUCUGGGCCAGUACUGACGCUGAGGCGCGAAAGCGUGGGGAGCGAACAGG